UCUGAAAACACCGGUUCUCGUUCGAUCACCGAAGUUAAGCAAUCGUGAGAGCCAGGUCAAAUCACGUAAAACUUAGAUGGGGACCGCUUGGGAACACCUGGUACUGUAAG
Molecule: non-coding RNA, 110 nt
Organism: Acanthosepion pharaonis
Lineage: Eukaryota; Metazoa; Mollusca; Cephalopoda; Sepiida; Sepiidae
Source: the annotation of a GenBank genome assembly